UCCACCUACGGGACGCAGCAGUGGGGAAUAUUGGGCAAUGGAGGAAACUCUGACCCAGCAAUGCCGCGUGAAUGAAGAAGGUCUUCGGAUUGUAAAGUUCUUUAGUCAGGGAAGAAGUCAAUGACGGUACCUGAAGAAUAAGCUCCGGCUAACUACGUGCCAGCAGCCGCGGUAAUACGGAGGAUGCGAGCGUUAUCCGGAUUUAUUGGGUUUAAAGGGUGCGUAGGCGGACAGUCAAGUCAGCGGUAAAAAUGCGGUGCUCAACGCCGUACAGCCGUUGAAACUGGCAGUCUUGAGUGGGCGAG
This 305-nucleotide ribosomal RNA is filed under the name uncultured bacterium. RNAcentral's name for it is "bacterial SSU rRNA". It matches the Rfam family "Bacterial small subunit ribosomal RNA", at positions 332 to 654 of the family's 1533-position model. The record is from RNAcentral.